CACGCAGUAAACGAUGAUUACUAGCUGUUUGCGAUAUAAUGUAAGUGGCUAAGGGAAACCGAUAAGUAAUCCACCUGGGGAGUACGUUCGCAAGAAUGAAACUCAAAGGAAUUGACGGGGGCCCGCACAAGCGGAGGAACAUGUGGUUUAAUUCGAUGAUACGCGAGGAACCUUACCCGGGCUUGAAAUGCAGAGGAAUAACUUGGAAACAGGUUAGUCAGCAAUGACCUCUGUGUAGGUGC
RNAcentral lists this ribosomal RNA (242 nucleotides) under uncultured Porphyromonadaceae bacterium. RNAcentral describes it as "partial 16S ribosomal RNA". It matches the Rfam family "Bacterial small subunit ribosomal RNA", at positions 796 to 1041 of the family's 1533-position model. The record is from RNAcentral. Lineage: Bacteria; Pseudomonadati; Bacteroidota; Bacteroidia; Bacteroidales; Porphyromonadaceae.